UACGUAGGGUGCGAGCUUUGUCCGGAAUUAUUGGGCGGAAAGGGCUCGUAGGCGGUUUGUCACGUCGGGAGUGAAAACUCAGGGCUUAACCCUGAGCCUGCUUCCGAUACGGGCAGACUAGAGGUAUGCAGGGGAGAACGGAAUUCCUGGUGUAGCGGUGAAAUGCGCAGAUAUCAGGAGGAACACCGGUGGCGAAGGCGGGUCUCUGGGCCGAUACUGACGCUGAGGAGCGAAAGCGUGGGGAGCGAACAGG
This 253-nucleotide ribosomal RNA is filed under the name uncultured bacterium. RNAcentral describes it as "partial 16S ribosomal RNA". It matches the Rfam family "Bacterial small subunit ribosomal RNA", at positions 524 to 776 of the family's 1533-position model. The record is from RNAcentral.